UACGGAGGGUGCGAGCGUUGUCCGGAAUCACUGGGCGUAAAGGGCGCGUAGGCGGCCUGAUAAGUAGGGGGUGAAAUCUUGCGGCUUAACCGCAAGGCUGCCUUCUAAACUGUCAGGCUAGAGCACAGUAGAGGCAGGUGGAAUUCCCGGUGUAGCGGUGGAAUGCGUAGAGAUCGGGAAGAACAUCAGUGGCGAAGGCGGCCUGCUGGGCUGUUGCUGACGCUGAGGCGCGACAGCGUGGGGAGCAAACGGG
RNAcentral lists this ribosomal RNA (253 nucleotides) under uncultured bacterium. Its description in RNAcentral is "partial 16S ribosomal RNA". It matches the Rfam family "Bacterial small subunit ribosomal RNA", at positions 524 to 776 of the family's 1533-position model. The record is from RNAcentral.